AGAGAUCAAAUUAUAUUCAUAAGGUAAAAAGGCAGUUAAAUAUUUUAUUAGAAGCUUAUUGAUUUUUUAUAUAAAGGUAAAAUUUAAAUAUAAAUUAAUAAUAUUAUUUAAGCUAUUAAUAUUGAAUCUGCGACAACCUAGAGGGAAACUGGGAUUAGAUACCCCAUUAUUCUUGGAUUUAAAUAAAUAUAAAUUUACCAGAGUACUAUGAAUCAUGUUAAAAAUUUAAAACUCAAAGAGCUUGGCGGUGUUUUAGACCUCUCAGGGGAACCUGUCUCUUAAUCGACAAUCCACGUUAAACCUAACCCUUUUUAGUAUAACAGUUUGUAUACCAUCGUCGUCAGGUAACUUUUAAAAAUUUAGAAGUUGGCAACUAAAUACUUAUAAAUUUAGACGUCAGAUCAAGGUGCAGCCUAUAUAAGGGUGAAGAUGGGUUACAAUUAAUAAUUAUAAAUACGGAUAUGAUAAUGAAAUACGUAUUAUAGUGAAGGAGGACUUGAAAGUAAGAAUGGCUUGUAUAAAAAGAAUCUGAAUUAGGCUCUGAAACAUGC
Molecule: ribosomal RNA, 551 nt
Filed under: Tonna perdix
Lineage: Eukaryota; Metazoa; Mollusca; Gastropoda; Littorinimorpha; Tonnidae
Description: partial 12S ribosomal RNA
Source: RNAcentral